GAACUUUUACUUUCUAAACCUCUCUGCAUUCCAGAUCAAGAAAUGUAUUAACUACACCAAAAUAGCAGAGAGUAAACUAUAAAAAGUAAUCAACAAGUGUCACUGGAGCGGUAAGCUUGUGAUAAAUUGGCCAUUUCAUUGCAUACUGAUACAGUAAUUCCAGACCUGCCGCUUAGAUGAUUGCAACUAAAGAUACAUCUUUGUGCUGCCUGAAACUUAAGAGGUUUCUUAUGCCACACAAUUCACAAACUACGAUUAUGGAAGUAAGAGUAUUGUGUUCAGUUAAUGUUUUAGAACUCAAUAGCAAACUGUGUAAGAUCUCAAUCUAUAAUGCAUAUGAUGAAACAGAUGUUUAAGGAACAAACUUGUGCAGCAUACGCUCGAGGUUAGCAGAAAAUGAGAAGUAUUGUAGGUAGUAGGUACGCUACAACAGUAACCUUAAAGCACAAAAACAAAACAGUUUCUGAUACUUUAACCCUGAUCAAAUAUGGUUGUGUUAUCUGAAACAUAAAUAAAUAUA
RNAcentral lists this long non-coding RNA (520 nucleotides) under Arabidopsis thaliana (thale cress). RNAcentral's name for it is "ncRNA (AT5G03175)". The record is from RNAcentral. Lineage: Eukaryota; Viridiplantae; Streptophyta; Magnoliopsida; Brassicales; Brassicaceae.